GAAUUUUCCGCAAUGGGCGCAAGCCUGACGGAGCAAUACCGGGUGAGGGAAGACGGUAAAUAAAUUGUAAACCUUUUUUUUCAGAGAAGAAGACAUGACGGUAUCUGAAGAAUAAGCAUCGGCUAACUCCGUGCCAGCAGCCGCGGUAACACGGAGGAUGCAAGCGUUGUCCGGAAUUAUUGGGCGUAAAGCGUCUGCAGGUGGUUUAGAAAGUCUGCUGUUAAAGACUGGGGCUUAACCCCAGGAAAGCAGUGGAAACUACUAGACUAGAGUAUGGUAGGGGUAGAGGGAAUUCCCAGUGUAGCGGUGAAAUGCGUAGAUAUUGGGAAGAACACCAGUGGCGAAAGC
Molecule: ribosomal RNA, 348 nt
Filed under: uncultured rhodophyte
Lineage: Eukaryota; Rhodophyta
Description: bacterial SSU rRNA
Rfam family: Bacterial small subunit ribosomal RNA
Source: RNAcentral